GAUGAACGCUAGCUACAGGCUUAACACAUGCGAGUCGAGGGGAAACGGCAUCGAAAGCUUGCUUUUGAUGGGCGUCGACCGGCGCACGGGUGAGUAACGCGUAUCCAACCUGCCCAUCACUUGGGAAUAACCUUGCGAAAGUAAGACUAAUGCCCAAUGACAUCCCACGAAGGCAUCCGAAUGGGAUUAAAGAUUUAUCGGUGAUGGAUGGGGAUGCGUCUGAUUAGCUUGUUGGCGGGGUGACGGCCCACCAAGGCAACGAUCAGUAGGGGUUCUGAGAGGAAGGUCCCCCACAUUGGAACUGAGACACGGUCCAAACUCCUACGGGAGGCAGCAGUGAGGAAUAUUGGUCAAUGGGCGAGAGCCUGAACCAGCCAAGUAGCGUGCAGGAGGACGGCCCUAUGGGUUGUAAACUGCUUUUAUAAGGGAAUAAAGUGGGUCACGUGUGACUUUUUGCAUGUACCUUAUGAAUAAGGACCGGCUAAUUCCGUG
This 492-nucleotide ribosomal RNA is filed under the name uncultured bacterium. RNAcentral describes it as "partial 16S ribosomal RNA". It matches the Rfam family "Bacterial small subunit ribosomal RNA", at positions 28 to 507 of the family's 1533-position model. The record is from RNAcentral.